UUGGAGAACGGAGUGUCAGGAAGACGCCGUCAGCGUCGGGGAAGAUGGUGCAAAUCCAUCACGGUGCCGCCACUGUAAGCGGGGAGUGACUCUGCACGGAGCCACUGUUCGAGGAAGUCGUUAGCCAUCAGCGUGAAGCUGUUUGCUGAAAGCUGAGUGCUGAGAACUUCUUCGGUCGGGAAGGCGCGGAGCCGCGACGAUCCGUAAGUCAGGAGACCCAACUGACGGCUGUUACGACUG
RNAcentral lists this non-coding RNA (240 nucleotides) under Nitrospira defluvii. The record is from RNAcentral. Lineage: Bacteria; Pseudomonadati; Nitrospirota; Nitrospiria; Nitrospirales; Nitrospiraceae.